CAUCUUUGUUAAAUACGCAAGUCCCAACCGCGAGAAUGGUUCAGAAAUCUUCAAAUUAUCUUUUUAUGGGCAGCAGUGGAUCUCCAUGGAACAAACAUGCAUUCAGUAACGCAAGAGACUCUGCACGAUGCUAUCAGAAGACACCGGGGCAUCAAGUGAAGUCUUUCCUUUGUAACAGGUUCAAGUCACCACUACCGAAAGGCGCAAGUGCAGAAGAGGCCGUCUGAGUGGGUAAAGGGGACAAGUAGCCUAUGCAGAUAAAGCAAUGGAUUGUGGUUAAUGAACGUGCCAUGACUGUGGUUUUUCUUGGAGGUUAAGCCAGAGGUUAACUCUGACAUAUGCUGAAUGCUCAGACCUCAUUGCUGGAAAUGAGAUUGAGAUGAUCUCAUUCAAGAUACUUUAAUGCUUCUGUCGCUAAUGUUCUGUUUGUAUCUAUUUGGGCACCGAUAUAGACAAAUCACCACAUCUAACCUCUUUGUCGAUUUUGUCCUGCACAUCUUAACGUUAAAAACAUCUCAUCCUGCUUUCUUUUAUGUUAUUGUAUCACUAAUUGAGAAUGUUUGAUAUAAAUACUCUGUCUGAUAGUAAGAAAAUGAAAAUACCUAUAUGAUCUCUUUUGAUUUUGUAUGUCUUUUAGUGUUAUCAGUAUUAAUAAAAAAAAAAAACAUAAUCUACUAUACUCUCCAACCAGGAUCUUAAAUGAUGUCUGUUUGUAAUAUCU
Non-coding RNA from Labrus bergylta (ballan wrasse), 721 nucleotides. The record is from RefSeq and is a predicted model, not a curated record. NCBI's taxonomy places the organism in Eukaryota, Metazoa, Chordata, Actinopteri, Labriformes, Labridae.